AUUUUUCAUUUUUCAGUUGAAAAAAUAAAUAAAAGAAGAGGAAGGAGGAAGAUGUGCCAGGCAGAGGGGACAGCAUUUGCAAAGAUUGGGAUGGAGAUGUGCAAUCCAAGACUCAGAGAAGCUGGAGAAUUUCCCUAAUGUCACACAGCAAAGGAAUGGAAGAAUACAUGAUCCUCUCCUCCCAACAUGUCACCCAGCAGGUGCAUGGCAGGUGUAUAUGUGAGUUUGCAGCUCAAUCCUGGCCAAGGGGAUCUGAGGACUGCUGAAGAGGCAUGUCUGCACAUGCCGCCUAGAACAUCUCCAGCCAUCAUAUGAUCCCUGGGGGAGGCAUUCCCAACUCUGAGAGAAGCAGAACAGAAAGAUGGAAAGAAAGCGCCUAGCUCCAGGAUGAAGACAUUGAGCCGCUGAAUUAACCAUCUUUGUGUUGCUCUAACCUUCAGAGUUCACCUUAACACGAGAAAAUAAAACCCUUAUUGCUUAGCCACUGGGAUCUUCUUUUAUAUGCAGCCAAAAGUAUCUUAACUGAUAUAAUUAUCUCUCCCACAUAGAAAUGGGGGCUUAUGUGCCCAAAUAGACAAUGCACAAGUAUUUUAUUAUAGCAUUGCAUGUAAUCGUGAGACAUUAAGAGUAACCUGAAAUGUGCGUCAGAGGGGACCUAGGGAAAUAAACUGUGAUUCAGUAACACUAUGGAAUUUGAGGCAGCCGUUAACAGCAACUAGGUAAAUUUUUAUGUGCUGAUCCCAACAUCUCCAAGAUCUCUAAGACAUUUAAGUUUUUAGAAGUUGUGAAAGAAAUACAUAUGGUAUAAUCCCAUUUACGAAAAACAAAAUAAUCCUUAAAAUAAAAUGUGUGAAGAUUCAUAUAUAUACACAUUCAUACCUAUAGAAAAAGGGGGUAGGAGGAAUCACAUCAUAUACAUAAAAGCAUUUGCCUCUGGAGCUGGGAGAUGGGCAGUGGGUGAGAGUUAAGAUAAACUUGUGCUUUUUUAUGUAUGGCACUUGUCCUUUUAGCAACACAAAUGAGUGAAUUUAUGGCUUUGUCAUAAAAAAGAUAACGUUUGGAAAAUAGCCCACAUGCUCGUUAUAGAAAAAUCUAGCAAAUGCUAGAAUGCACAGAUGUAAGUUUUGUUCAAACCAUGCAAGACAGAGGGGUUUGUUGUUGUUGUUGUUGUUUAGAAAAACACAAUAUUUCCGGUUUCCUGGGGGCAAAGAGGAACUUCUCUUCAGGCCCUCAAAUGAUUUUCAUGUGUGUGGCACAAUUACUGGGGCAGAGUUCAGUGUUUUUAAUCAAAAGCUACUUGUCAAGUAGGUAAUAUCACUUUGCCUAGCCUGCGUAAACAAAGCUUUGUGAGGACUGGGUUUGGAAAGUGGAAGAGCUGAAUCAUUUAAAUUGGAGUGUGUGUGUGUGUGUGUGUGAGAGAGAGAGAGAGAGAGAGAAAGGAGAAAGAGAGAGACAGGGGGAGAGAGAGAGAGAGAGACAGAGUUGGGGGAGAAGAGGGGAGGAGGAUGGAGUGCUCUAUGUGAUAUACACGGUUCUGGAGAAUUCUCCAUAGAAAUAUCCACCCUGUGUUUUCCAGCACCGGUUCUGCUCCCAACCACUUGGAACCAUAAGAAUUUGACCUUCCAAAGGAGAGAGGCUUCCUCGCGAUGCUUGGUUGGUAAUGACUGAGUUGUAGGCACGGACUGUUUUGUAAUUGCCUUCCAGUUGUCUCCUACAUUUUUCUGAGUUGGGUACCAUUAGUCUCAAGGCUCCUGUCAUGUGGCCAUUAAAUCAUUGUUUUAUCUGACAGCGUCAUUUCUGCAAAACCCUGGAGAGAAAACACUACACAUUUUCCAGGACUGGAAUGCUGCCACCUGGUCAUUAUGCCCAGCAGCCCUCAGACAGCUACCCCUAAAGACGUGCACCUUUGGGGCAACGGCACCAUGGCUCCCCAGACUAAACAGCUCUGGAGGGCUUACUGUGUUACUGGUUGUGUUUUUUUUUUAAUGAGUGGAAUUACCCUGGUCAGCAAACAGCCUCUAGCACUAAUUUAGGAGACUGAUUCUGACAAAUGGGUGUAAAGAAAAGAAGAAUGGCAGGAAAAACAUUGCUUUUCAGAAAUCAAAAAGGAUGCUUUUCUGAGGGUAUCACUUAUUUUUCCUUCCACCCCUGCAAACUACCCAGGGCGAAAGCAGAAGAAAAAUGUUCCCGACAGGGUCUAAUUGUUAUCUGAAAUAAAUGAGAACAGGGAGGUUUGAGGACUCCCGAACAUGGACAGAUGAGGUGGGAGGAAUUGUUUUCGUGACUGAUUUCCAACAGCCAAGCUGCAAGGCUGAAUAAAGAGGAUGCCAGUGAGUCCUUAACAAAACAAUAAAAAACCAAGGCUUGCCACCUUCAGGGAUCAUAAUUUAUUCAUUCAACAAAUAAAUGAUUGAAUGGUUAGUGGUUGUUCUGUGCUGGACAUUCUUCUAGGAGCUGGGGACACAGCAAUGAACCAAGCAAUGUCUCUCUAUCUUAACUGGGCUCUGAAUAGGAAAGAGAUGGUGCACUCAAAUUGGGAAUUGGAGGAGGACUUGAAUAAAGGGACUAUUUGCACAGACUGUUUGCAAAGAUCCCCCUACAAGGGAUUGUGCAGUCCCCUGGGGCUAGCAACAGCAGGGAGCUGUUACCACCCUGAAAGGGCACAGAGGGGGAGCAGUGACUGGCAGUGAAGAGGUUGGUGGUAGGGAGAUGCCAUGUGACAGGAGCCAGGACCAGAGAAUCAUAACCAACCAAGUCCAUGUAGCGAAAAUGAGACUGGGAACAGAGACUCCAACCUUUCUCUCCCCUUACCCUUUUGUAUUAGUCUGUUUUCAGGCUAUUG
This is a long non-coding RNA of Chlorocebus sabaeus (green monkey), 2842 nucleotides long. RefSeq lists it as uncharacterized. NCBI's taxonomy places the organism in Eukaryota, Metazoa, Chordata, Mammalia, Primates, Cercopithecidae. The record is from RefSeq and is a predicted model, not a curated record.